Non-coding RNA from Camellia sinensis, 1583 nucleotides. Lineage: Eukaryota; Viridiplantae; Streptophyta; Magnoliopsida; Ericales; Theaceae. The record is from RefSeq and is a predicted model, not a curated record.
UGAAAGGAACAAGACUUUCGAAGUAGCAGAUGACUCCCCAAACCUCAUUUUCUCUCUCAUGUCGAAAACCCUUCUCUCCCGCAUUAAACCUCGUCACAACCCCAAACCCAGUUCUUCCCCUUCCUUCUCCUUCAAACCCUUGAUCAAGCGACUCGUCAACGAACUCUGUGACAUCCUCAAAACCCACCACCACAAUCAAUGGCAAGACACCCUCGAAACCCACCUCUCCGAAGAAGAAAUCGUCCCAUCUGACAUUGCCCAUUUGGUGCUCGACCGUAUUCGCGACCCCGAAUUGGGUUUGAAGUUCUUUGAUUGGGUCACUCAACGCCCAUACGGUUGUUCUCUUGAUGGGUUUGCUUAUUCUUCUCUUCUUAAGCUCUUGGCCAGCUCUAGAGUGUUUUCAGAGAUUGAGACUGUGUUGGAGAGUAUGAAAGUUGAAGACAAGUUACCGACUCGGGAAGCUUUGGAUGCUAUAAUUCGAGCGUAUUCGGAUUCUGGGAAGUCCUGAAACAGGGGAAAAUCAGUAAACCUGUGGUUGCUUGGGUCAGUGGAACUUGUGCACGUCUCUUUAAGUCAGAAGUACAAUUUGGUCAUGCGGGAGCCAAAAGUGGUGGUGAGAUGGAGUCUGCACAAGCCAAGAAUCAAGCACUUCACGAUGCUGGAGCUGUUGUCCCAACUUCAUUUGAAGCAUUUGAAACUGUGAUUAAAGAAACAUUUGAGAAGCUGGUUGAGGGGGGCAAUGUUACUCCUACAAAGGAAGUUUAAGCCUCCACAAAUCCCUGAGGAUCUUAAUACUGCUAUUAAGAGUGGAAAAGUCCGAGCUCCAACUCAUAUUAUAUCCACCAUAUCUGAUGACAGAGGAUACCGGGAGGACAGCAGUUCUGAAUUUCUGCUUCAAACUGGAAAUAAACUCUGCUAAAUCUGUCUUUUGGAGGAGCUCAUUGAGAAUAAGCUUGAUGGGUUUAUCAUCCCUCUGUUACAAGGGAAUAUCCUGAAGCUUUUCAAUGCUUAUUUUGUGUGUGUGUGUGUGCGCGUGUGUUUAUGCAUGAGCACAUGCGUGCGUGUUAAAGGUAACUAUGGAUGCAAGAGUAGUUUCUUAUUUAUGGUGUUUUCACUUAACCAAGGCAUAAGCUAUCAGACUGGACAACUCAAGCUGAAAAUUCACCAGCCAUAAUUACUUUAAUUUCAAGGAGGUGUACACGGCGCUUAGGGACCCGAAUGUGGAGAAGAGGGGCUAACCUUGAAGGUUCUAUGUCUUCAUUUUUACAGAUUCAAGGUUCAAUUCCACUCCUUUGGGAGCAAAUUGUUGAUUUGAGCUAUAAACCACGACUUAAUAUUAUUGAUCAUGAGCAAACAUCAAAGGUUGUGGAGCGCCAUUUUCAUGAUAUUAUAGAAAGAUACGGAGAGACCGUAAAAGUUGACCUAACCGAUAAGGUAAGACUUUCCAGCACCACACUAGGACAUUAACCUGGGGCGUAGUUUCAAUAUGAUUUCCUUACUGGAAGUGGAGAAAUCCAGCAUGGCGAUGAGGGUCAACUGAGUAUGGCAUAUGCUACUGAAAUGGAAAAGCUGCCAAAUGUGAG